This 89-nucleotide transfer RNA is filed under the name Claviceps arundinis. RNAcentral's name for it is "tRNA-Glu". It matches the Rfam family "tRNA". From Rfam's summary of the family: Transfer RNA (tRNA) molecules are approximately 80 nucleotides in length. RNAcentral also lists the same sequence under 7 other names. The record is from RNAcentral. Lineage: Eukaryota; Fungi; Ascomycota; Sordariomycetes; Hypocreales; Clavicipitaceae.
UCCGGUGUGGUGUAAUGGCUAUCAUACUGCGCUUUCAAGGCAACUUCAAAGGUUCCGCAGGGACCGGGGUUCGAUUCCCCGCAUCGGAG